Trichobilharzia regenti is the source of this 46-nucleotide non-coding RNA. NCBI's taxonomy places the organism in Eukaryota, Metazoa, Platyhelminthes, Trematoda, Strigeidida, Schistosomatidae. The record is from Rfam.
AUACUGCUGAAGAGUCCCAAACUAGGACGAAACAGCUGUCCAGUAC